UUGGAGACUAGAAUGAAUGGUUUAAUUAAUUGGUUUAGUUUGUUUUAUUAUAUAGUAAAUUAAAGAUAAAGUAAAAAUUCUUUAAUAUAUUAGGGGACGAUAAGACCCUAAAAGCUUAAUAAUAAGUAGAUUUAUGGUGUUUUGUGAGAACUUAAUUAACUGGGGUAGUUUAUUUAAGUAAAUUAAAUAAUUAUUAAAGAUCCUUUAAAUAAAGAAUUUUUGUACAAGUUACUUUAGGGAUAACAGUGUAAUAUAUUUGGAGAGACCAGAUCUAUAAAUAUGUUUUCAACCUCGAUGUUGAAUUAGGAUUUCUAUGCGAGCAGAAUAUGUGUUAGAAAGUUUGUUCAACUUUUAAUUUUCUACAUGAUCUGAGUUCAAACCGG
Molecule: ribosomal RNA, 383 nt
Filed under: Lanceogammarus andrussowi
Lineage: Eukaryota; Metazoa; Arthropoda; Malacostraca; Amphipoda; Gammaridae
Description: partial 16S ribosomal RNA
Rfam family: Bacterial large subunit ribosomal RNA (bases 239-383)
Source: RNAcentral